GCCCCGGUAGCUCAGCUGGAUAGAGCGUCCCCCUCCUAAGGGGAAGGUCAGGGGUUCGACUCCCUUCCGGGGCACCA
Molecule: transfer RNA, 77 nt
Filed under: Sulfuriflexus sp.
Lineage: Bacteria; Pseudomonadati; Pseudomonadota; Gammaproteobacteria; Chromatiales; Granulosicoccaceae
Description: tRNA-Arg
Rfam family: tRNA
About the family: Transfer RNA (tRNA) molecules are approximately 80 nucleotides in length. Their secondary structure includes four short double-helical elements and three loops (D, anti-codon, and T loops). Further hydrogen bonds mediate the characteristic L-shaped molecular structure. tRNAs have two regions of fundamental functional importance: the anti-codon, which is responsible for specific mRNA codon recognition, and the 3' end, to which the tRNAs corresponding amino acid is attached (by aminoacyl-tRNA synthetases). tRNAs cope with the degeneracy of the genetic code in two manners: having more than one tRNA (with a specific anti-codon) for a particular amino acid; and 'wobble' base-pairing, i.e. permitting non-standard base-pairing at the 3rd anti-codon position.
Source: RNAcentral